UUUGCGUUACCAAGAAUGCCUUGAAAAAAGUUGGGAUAAACGACAAGUUUCGAAUACUAUCAACCAACUGGGAUCUGUCCGAAACCAAAUUUAUUUCGUCGUUAGAACACGUUACCUAUCCGUUCUACGGAUUGCAAUUUCAUCCAGAGAAGAAUUUGUAUGAAUGGAUCAUCGGUGGAAAUAUACCGCAUGGAAAGAACGCGAUCAAAGCGUCCCAGUACUUCGCUAAUUUUUUCGUUAGCGAAGCACGAAAGAAUACACACGAAUUUC
Long non-coding RNA from Ceratina calcarata, 270 nucleotides. RefSeq lists it as uncharacterized. Lineage: Eukaryota; Metazoa; Arthropoda; Insecta; Hymenoptera; Apidae. The record is from RefSeq and is a predicted model, not a curated record. The transcript has 3 exons.